CAAUAUGUCUACGCUGGUUCA
RNAcentral lists this non-coding RNA (21 nucleotides) under Arabidopsis thaliana (thale cress). Lineage: Eukaryota; Viridiplantae; Streptophyta; Magnoliopsida; Brassicales; Brassicaceae. The record is from RNAcentral.